Corvus moneduloides (New Caledonian crow) is the source of this 1117-nucleotide long non-coding RNA. Lineage: Eukaryota; Metazoa; Chordata; Aves; Passeriformes; Corvidae. The record is from Ensembl.
AUGAUAUUUAAUAUUUAUCAGAUUUUGCAGAAAACAAAAAGUAAAAGACAAUAUGGUUGUGUAGUAAACAUCUAUUUGUUACUAUUAAUAAUUUUGCACCUGUGCUUCUCUAUUUUAUUUUAUUUUUUUCUUAAAUCGUUCUCAUUCAAGGAGGCUGCUCUUUUCCCAGACAUGAUGCGUUUGCUUACAUGUGCACCACAGAGAUUUCACCCAAGUCGACAUGUUUCUAGAACUUACAAACCUGGAACCAAAACACUUGUCUCAAUAAGUGGAGUUGAUUUCCCUUGCGUUGGAAACUUGUUAAAUUGUCCAAUUAGAUUGCCAGAAGGGGCAAUUUAUUAUUAAGGUCUGAGAAGUCAUAUUCUAGCAGCCCCUGGCAGAGGCCUGAAAAGCUUUUGUCAAGCACCACCGUCACACCUACAGACACCUGAACUGUGGCAAACUGCCAGGGAACCAGUGCGGCAUUCCACUCCAUGCUGCAUUGAAUCAUCUCCGAGGUGGGACACUUCUCUUUUCUUCCUCUCUUCCUCUCUGAGCCAGGAAUAGUUCCAGGAGCAGAAGACAGUUUCAGUCUGGAUCAACUGCUGACUUUUUAGCUUGUAUUUUUAUCUCUUCCAUAUGAUGCUGAUCUUGGAGAAGAGCCUAAGUUGAACAUUCCUGCCUUUUUUUCCUGGAUCUUCUGCUGCACAUGAAAAAUCAGGUCUGUGGAGUUAUUGUGGAAACUCUGAAAAGCUCUUUCUCCUUUGCCUUUCUCCCCUGCCUCCUUUGCCUAUGGCUGUAGUGAACAGCAGCACUCACUGCAGAACUCAGGUACAACAUAGUACCAAUAUGCAGUGAUUGUAACAUGCAUCAGUCCCACACGGUGUACAUAAUCACACCCAGUAUUUCAGAACUGUAAUUAAGUCUUGGGAGAAUGCUUCACUCAUUUACAUCACCAGACUGAACUGUGUUAAAAUACUACUAUAUUGGAACAAUGUUUACCAAAACAGUUGACUUAAAAUAGGUCUUCAAGGGAUCUACAAAAUUCUCUUCUAUAAGUUUGUAAUGCUGCAACAAAUCAAAAAUGAGACAAGUGUCUAUUAAAAUAUUAAAAAAUUAGUCUUGUCAUAAGUAUCAC